Molecule: ribosomal RNA, 449 nt
Filed under: uncultured bacterium
Lineage: Bacteria
Description: partial 16S ribosomal RNA
Rfam family: Bacterial small subunit ribosomal RNA
Source: RNAcentral
AAUGAACGCUGGCGGCAGGCCUAACACAUGCAAGUCGAACGGGUCCUUCGGGACUAGUGGCGGACGGGUGAGUAACGCGUGGGAACGUGCCCCUUGGUACGGAAUAGCCCCGGGAAACUGGGAGUAAUACCGUAUGUGGUCGAGAGACGAAAGAUUUAUCGCCAAGGGAUCGGCCCGCGUUGGAUUAGGUAGUUGGUGGGGUAAUGGCCUACCAAGCCGACGAUCCAUAGCUGGUUUGAGAGGAUGAUCAGCCACACUGGGACUGAGACACGGCCCAGACUCCUACGGGAGGCAGCAGUGGGGAAUCUUAGACAAUGGGGGAAACCCUGAUCUAGCCAUGCCGCGUGAUCGAUGAAGGCCUUAGGGUUGUAAAGAUCUUUCAGGUGGGAAGAUAAUGACUGUACCACCAGAAGAAGCCCCGGCUAACUCCGUGCCAGCCGCCGCGGUAA